Molecule: long non-coding RNA, 1619 nt
Organism: Zingiber officinale
Lineage: Eukaryota; Viridiplantae; Streptophyta; Magnoliopsida; Zingiberales; Zingiberaceae
Exons: 2
Source: RefSeq, a predicted model, not a curated record
GCCAUUUACACCGUCGAUUUUUUCCCAACCCGACGCCGACCUCCUCUUCAUCUUCCCCAACCGACGGUGCCGCUUCACUUCUCUUCUCCCACGAGUACAAGGCCAUCGGCCCAGGGAAAGCUUUGAGCCUUCCUCUUGCGUCAAUCCCCUUUCCUCUUCCCCUCCUCUUUGCCUACUCGCUCCACCACCCGACAUGCGAAUCGGUGCCAGUCGAUCACCGACCACCGGAGGCUUGAGCUCUCCCAUCUUCACCACCAAGCGCCUCCCCUCUGCCCUAGUUUCACUUAGCACCACUGCUCUCUCGAUCCCACCUUUCCGGCAGAGCCCUAGCUCUCAAUCCACCGUCGACCGAGUGCUCGUUUUCCCGAUCCGAGGUGCCACCUCUGCAUGGCUUUGGUCUUCGGCGAAGGGCGAGGAUAUGAGCCCUAGUUCGGCUGGGGUUGGUGAUGAUCGGCUUGCUGGACAAAUGGUUCUCCUUUUCGUGGCUUAACCUCGAGUAUCCACUGUCGAUUUUUCCCUUGUCAACCCCGAUGGCCAAUUGCUAUGUUUCCCUUUUGCGCAGAGACCAUUGACACUAAGAAUUGGGGCAUCAAAAGGGUCAUGGACCCGAUCAAAUCAGACCACCUUUGGGCUCAAAUCAAGGGCUAAUCAAGUCGAUCAAGCCUCGGAGCAUUCUGGACCGUCCAUUGAAGAUCAAGUAGAUCUGAGCCAUCCAUUGAAGAUCAGGCUCAUCCAACCUAAUGAGGAGUAGAUUUGGUCCAUAGAGAAAGAUCAGUACUGUUGGAUCGGAUUUUAUGCUAUUUUCCACCGUUGAUCAAGAUCCGAUGAUUAUGAGCCGUCCGAUCAGAUUGAAGAUGAUUUAAAAGCUUCGUGAGAAGCUACAGUGCGGUGGGCUCGGCUUCGCGAUUUCUUGCUACAGUAUCGUCUUCUUCGCGCGACGGCCAGCGCUCCCAUUCCCUCAUUCCAGAUCCGUGAGCAAAUUUUCUCCAUCGCCGGCGAUUCCCGAGCUCCGGCGAUCUUCGUCCGAGGCCAUAGAGUGCGGUCGAGGGUGUUUCCCAGUCCGCAGUGUUGGUUCUGCUCUGCCGCAAUCCAGCUCGAGGGUGUUUCCCAGAUUUGGAUCUUCAUUAGUCACCGGAGGACGAGGGCGGUUCCCAGUAGCUCCGGAUUUCCUUUCAUCACCAUUUCAUCAGUUGCAUUUGACUGGAUCUGAUCAGCCAAUCAAGUGUGCACAAUUCCAGAUCCAGCCUCUGUUUUCUCAUGCGUUGAGGAUUCCAGCCGGUUGUGAGCCCGAAGGAUGUUUUCCGGAGGCUAUGAACAUUCAUCUGGAUGAGUAGGAAGCUCUAGAUUCAAAGGUGGUUGCCCGAAGGAUGUUUUCUAGAGGCAUCUCUGUCUUUUCGGCAGAAUGAAGAAGGUUUUGCUAUGGAUUUGGAUGUGGAAUGCUUAGGGUUUAGUUUUUAUUAUCUUUGUCUUUAAAUUGUUCAUCACAUUGCUCAGAUCUUGUGAUCUGAUUAUGUUUCUUUGCAAUUUCUAUUUUGUUUCAUGUUUCCUUAUGCAAUUCUGUUUGUGAUUUCUUGUUUACAAACCCCACCCUUAGACCUAAUUCUGAUUUGUUUUUGCAA